Molecule: unclassified non-coding RNA, 212 nt
Filed under: uncultured fungus
Lineage: Eukaryota; Fungi
Description: sequence contains ITS1, 5.8S rRNA gene
Source: RNAcentral
AACAUAUCUACGUAUCAACCAACCGCGCACUUUGUUUUUUCCAAUCUUGCUCUGUUUAUGUGGAAGUCUUCUCUAUAACUCUCGGGUUAUAGGGUUGCCGGAAGCAUGAGCAUCAAGGCUGGAAACUUAUUAACCCAUUGUAUUAUCAUCCCCAGUUAUUUUAUUUCUUUGUCGCGGCCUAACGGCGGACUUUCUAUUAAGAAAUUUUUGUA